GACGAACCGUACGAACGUUAUUCGGAAUCACUGGGCUUAAAGGGUGCGUAGGCGGCGCGGAAAGUUGGGUGUGAAAUCCCUCGGCUCAACCGAGGAACUGCGUCCAAAACUGCCGUGCUCGAGGGAGACAGAGGUGAGCGGAACUUAGGGUGGAGCGGUGAAAUGCGUUGAUAUCCUAAGGAACACCGGUGGCGAAAGCGGCUCACUGGGUCUCUUCUGACGCUGAGGCACGAAAGCUAGGGUAGCGAACGGG
RNAcentral lists this ribosomal RNA (253 nucleotides) under uncultured bacterium. RNAcentral describes it as "partial 16S ribosomal RNA". It matches the Rfam family "Bacterial small subunit ribosomal RNA", at positions 524 to 776 of the family's 1533-position model. The record is from RNAcentral.